AAGCUGGAAUCGCUAGUAAUCGCGGAUCAGAAUGCCGCGGUGAAUACGUUCCCGGGUCUUGUACACACCGCCCGUCACACCAUGGGAGUCAGUAACGCCCGAAGUCAGUGACCUAACCGAAAGGGAGGAGCUGCCGAAGGCGAGACGGAUGACUGGGGUGAAGUCGUAACAAGGUACC
This 178-nucleotide ribosomal RNA is filed under the name uncultured bacterium. Its description in RNAcentral is "partial 16S ribosomal RNA". It matches the Rfam family "Bacterial small subunit ribosomal RNA", at positions 1323 to 1500 of the family's 1533-position model. The record is from RNAcentral.